ACCCAGCUCAGAGAUGGGGAACGCGAAGCAGAGCCCCAGCACCCCACGGCCACCCCAGCACGGGUCAGAAGGGCAGCAGGAGCACAGUCCCUUGCCCGAGAGCUGGCAGAUCCGGGAAGAACCAGGUCUCCUUCUCCUCCCUCUUCAAUCACAGCACCGAUUUGCAAACCAAAAGUAAAAGAGGAAAUGGCUGAGCGAGGGCAGGAAGCCCCUGAGCCCUCCCCUCCUGCAGCUGAUCUCUCAGACGGACAGAUGCCCGCUCACUUUUUUUUUUUACCCGCAAACCCCACGCCAGCAAUAACCGCCAAGCAGGAAACGCACAGUUCACCGCCAAUUGUAAUUCCCAAGGAUGCUCUCCAAGUUGUAUAAGGAGACGGAUGCAUCACCCAAGCACUAUUCAAGGAACGCUGUGUGCUUAACCUCUACAAAGUGCUGCCAGUGAUCAAACAGGAGUGAGGACUUCUACAAAAUGCUUACUGACUGCAGUGAGAGAUGUACAGGUGCUCUUGGACACCACAGCAUGAAGUGUAUGUGUGCUGUAAAGUAAGCUGGUGUGAAGCAUUAAAAACUGACAAAGAGCCACUGGCCUCAGGCAGCUGCAUGGAACCACUCCAGCAGCAUCACUAGCAUCAAGAGAUUCCAGAGGAGGAGAAGGAACUUUCUAACUCCCAAGACAAUUCAUCUGGCAGGUCAUGUGCACCAGCAUUCAGAUGCCAGUGGCCUCCCCGCAUCCC
Molecule: long non-coding RNA, 734 nt
Organism: Numida meleagris (helmeted guineafowl)
Lineage: Eukaryota; Metazoa; Chordata; Aves; Galliformes; Numididae
Exons: 3
Source: RefSeq, a predicted model, not a curated record